This 463-nucleotide ribosomal RNA is filed under the name uncultured bacterium. RNAcentral describes it as "partial 16S ribosomal RNA". It matches the Rfam family "Bacterial small subunit ribosomal RNA", at positions 28 to 507 of the family's 1533-position model. The record is from RNAcentral.
GACGAACGCUGGCGGCGUGCUUAACACAUGCAAGUCGAACGGAAAGGCCUUUUCGGAGGUACUCGAGUGGCGAACGGGUGAGUAACACGUGGGUGAUCUGCCCUGCACUCUGGGAUAAGCUUGGGGAACUGGGUCUAAUACCGGAUAGGACCGCACUUUAGUGUGUGUGGUGGAAAGUUUUUUCGGUGUAGGAUGAGCCCGCGGCCUAUCAGCUUGUUGGUGGGGUAAUGGCCUACCAAGGCGGCGACGGGUAGCCGGACUGAGAGGUUGGUCGGCCACAUUGGGACUGAGAUACGGCCCAGACUCCUACGGGAGGCAGCAGUGGGGAAUAUUGCACAAUGGGCGCAAGCCUGAUGCAGCGACGCCGCGUGGGGGAUGACGGCCUUCGGGUUGUAAACUCCUUUCGCCAGGGACGAAGCGUUUUGUGACGGUACCUGGAGAAGAAGCACCGGCUAACUACGUG